RNAcentral lists this transfer RNA (71 nucleotides) under Loxodonta africana (African savanna elephant). It matches the Rfam family "tRNA". Rfam says of the family: Transfer RNA (tRNA) molecules are approximately 80 nucleotides in length. Their secondary structure includes four short double-helical elements and three loops (D, anti-codon, and T loops). Lineage: Eukaryota; Metazoa; Chordata; Mammalia; Proboscidea; Elephantidae. The record is from Rfam by way of RNAcentral.
GCAAUGGCGGUUUAGUGGUAGAAUUCUCCCUUUCUGUAUGAGAGACUAGGGUUCGAUUCCCAGCUAAUGCA